RNAcentral lists this microRNA (22 nucleotides) under Schistosoma japonicum. RNAcentral describes it as "sja-miR-2a-3p". Its record names the gene sja-miR-2a-3p. RNAcentral also lists the same sequence under 1 other name. The record is from miRBase by way of RNAcentral. Lineage: Eukaryota; Metazoa; Platyhelminthes; Trematoda; Strigeidida; Schistosomatidae.
UCACAGCCAGUAUUGAUGAACG